ACCCUGAUCCAGCCAUGCCGCGUGUGUGAUGACGGCCUUAGGGUUGUAAAGCACUUUCAGCAGUGAAGAUAAUGACAUUAACUGCAGAAGAAGCCCCGGCUAACUUCGUGCCAGCAGCCGCGGUAAUACGAAGGGGGCUAGCGUUGUUCGGAAUCACUGGGCGUAAAGCGUACGUAGGCGGAUUGAUAAGUUAGGGGUGAAAUCCCGGGGCUUAACCCCGGAACUGCCUUUGAUACUGUCAGUCUUGAGUUCGAGAGAGGUGAGUGGAACUCCGAGUGUAGAGGUGAAAUUCGUAGAUAUUCGGAAGAACACCAGUGGCGAAGGCGGCUCACUGGCUCGAUACUGACGCUGAGGUACGAAAGCGUGGGGAGCAAACAGGAUUAGAUAUCCUGGUAGUCCACGCCGUAAACGAUGAAUGCUAGUUGUCAGGGUGCUUGCACUUUGGUGACGCAGCUAACGCAUUAAGCAUUCCGCCUGGGGAGUACG
RNAcentral lists this ribosomal RNA (486 nucleotides) under Pseudovibrio sp. HDEN16. Its description in RNAcentral is "bacterial SSU rRNA". It matches the Rfam family "Bacterial small subunit ribosomal RNA", at positions 380 to 884 of the family's 1533-position model. Lineage: Bacteria; Pseudomonadati; Pseudomonadota; Alphaproteobacteria; Hyphomicrobiales; Stappiaceae. The record is from RNAcentral.